This is a non-coding RNA of Noviherbaspirillum sp. Root189, 78 nucleotides long. NCBI's taxonomy places the organism in Bacteria, Pseudomonadati, Pseudomonadota, Betaproteobacteria, Burkholderiales, Oxalobacteraceae. The record is from Rfam.
UUGAGCCGUGUGCGGUGAAAGUCGCACGCACGGUUCUUAGGGGGGAGGGGUUCCGGUAACGGACCCUUCCUACCCUAC